GUGCUGGCUGCCUGGCAGCCUGCUCUCCUUUCCAGUGAGGGCUGAACACAGGAGAAUCCACCCUUCCUCAGGGGAGCACUUCGACUCCUACACCUGCCCCAUAAGACACUUCCUCAAACACCAGAACUAGAGCUACCUUAGAGUAGCACUCAGAGGUGAGGAAGGCCUAAAAGCAAAGAACCAUACUCCGGAAAUAGGUAGGGUAAACCCACAAAAGGCCCGGAAGUGUUUCCCCAGUGUUUAAGGAAAUUCCUUAACCACGGCGCAGCCUUUGAUUCACUCCCUGUUCCACAAGUCACUGGAAUCGCGCUAACAAAUAGAAUCAAGAAGUGUGAACUCUCGACCCCCGGCUUCAUUACCGUCUCCCAAAGCGUCCCAACAGCCUGACCCAGCGUGACCCCUGACCUCUGCCCCAACUUGCCACUAGCCCUAAGAUGGCCCCGCCCCCUCCUAGACUCCCACCCCACCCAACGUGAGCGACUGGGGGAGGGGCCCGCGCGUGCGCGCCUGGAGGCGGAGAGAGCCGGCUGCGCGCACCGCCCGGGGGCUCCCGCCAGAACCCAAACCCACGCACACAAGGGUCGCAAGGCUAGGCAGUCUUUCAUCCCUGCCGGUCAGGGAGCAACCCCCCACCACCACCAGACCGCGAAAGGCUGAGAUAAGGGAGAGCUAGUGCCGCCAGGUCCCAGCUCCUGACUGGAUAUGGUACGCGUGCGCAGACCGGCGGGAGGGGAGAGGAGACGCGCCCGGGCCCAGCGCCGGCCAGCCUGGCCCCCCUGAGCCUGUCUCUAUGGGCGCGCGCCGACAGCCUCGCGCACCGGCCCCGGGGCCCCGGCCGAAGGUGCGCGCGCAGCAUCCCGGGAAGGUGGGAGGGGAGGCGGUGGCGGAAAGAUGCGCGCGCAAUCACCCGUCAGGGGAGGGGGGAAACUGUGAGGCGUCCGCCAUCUUGUCUCCCUCUCCUUACCUGCGUCCUCGGGGGCGUGCGCACCACCCCCCCUCCCGCCGAGGAGGGGGGAGGGCCCCCUCUUGGCCGCCGCCUUCGCGGCCUUUAAAUUCCCCUGGGGCCCGCGGCUACUACCACCGCCUUGCUUCCACUGCUUCCUCUCGCGGCACAGUGAUGCAGGCGGGCGGUGGGAAAAGUGGAAGACGCUACUCGCAGCGAACCGCCGCCGCCGCUUCCGAGGCCUCACCAAAAUGGCCGCCGCCGUCUCGGCCGCCACCACCAACACCACCGCCACCACCACAGCUCACUAUCGCUACCGCCGGCGCGGCCCGUCUUCUCGCGAGAAACAGUAACUGGAGGUUGGGGGAGCGAGGAAGCUCGCGUGCUAGCGUAGGGCGCUGCCCGAAGCGCAAGGCCGGCUGGGAGAUGUAGUCCGCGCAGAGACAGCGCUUGCCCGCUACGACGCGUUUUUAUCCACUACGGAACCUGCCGCUGGAGCUGCAUUGCGGCUGCCAACUCGGUUGAGUCCGCCCCACUUUAAUAGAUCACCCAGAGUGCUAAAGCAAUUUCUCAGGUACUUUUAGCUAGUUAGCCGUGGAGCAUGGGUCUCUGGAUUCAUAUGGCAGUCCACUUAUGUAGACCUGCUUCAUCUUACACAAGGGUUGUUGUUUAGUCUCUUAAGUUGUGACCGACUCAGUACCACCCCAUGGACUGCAGGUCGCCCAGUUUCCUCGCCCUUCGCUAUUUCCCAGAGUUUGCUCAGACUCAUGUUCAUUGAGUCAGUGAUGUUAAUCAACCAUCUCAUCCUCUGUCUUCCCCCUUAUCCCCCUUCCCUCAAUCUUUCCCA
Long non-coding RNA from Bos taurus (domestic cattle), 1790 nucleotides. The record is from Ensembl. Lineage: Eukaryota; Metazoa; Chordata; Mammalia; Artiodactyla; Bovidae.